AUUGAACGCUGGCGGAAUGCUUUACACAUGCAAGUCGAACGGCAGCACGGACUUCGGUCUGGUGGCGAGUGGCGAACGGGUGGGUAAUACAUCGGAACGUGCCCAAUCGUGGGGGAUAACGUAGCGAAAGCUACGCUAAUACCGCAUACGAUCUAAGGAUGAAAGCGGGGGAUCGCAAGACCUCGCGCGAUUGGAGCGGCCGAUGGCAGAUUAGGUAGUUGGUAGGGUAAAGGCCUACCAAGCCGACGAUCUGUAGCUGGUCUGAGAGGAUGAUCAGCCACACUGGAACUGAGACACGGCCCAGACUCCUACGGGAGGCAGCAGUGGGGAAUUUUGGACAAUGGACGCAAGUCUGAUCCAGCCAUGCCGCGUGCAGGAUGAAGGCCCUCGGGUUGUAAACUGCUUUUGUACAGAACGAAAAGGCUCUGGUUAAUACCUAGGGCUCAUGACGGUACCGUAAGAAUAAGCACCGGCUAACUACGUGCCAGCCGCCGCGGUAA
This 500-nucleotide ribosomal RNA is filed under the name uncultured bacterium. RNAcentral describes it as "partial 16S ribosomal RNA". It matches the Rfam family "Bacterial small subunit ribosomal RNA", at positions 30 to 523 of the family's 1533-position model. The record is from RNAcentral.